Molecule: ribosomal RNA, 464 nt
Filed under: uncultured Enterobacter sp.
Lineage: Bacteria; Pseudomonadati; Pseudomonadota; Gammaproteobacteria; Enterobacterales; Enterobacteriaceae
Description: bacterial SSU rRNA
Rfam family: Bacterial small subunit ribosomal RNA
Source: RNAcentral
CCUACGGGGGGCAGCAGUGGGGAAUAUUGCACAAUGGGCGCAAGCCUGAUGCAGCCAUGCCGCGUGUAUGAAGAAGGCCUUCGGGUUGUAAAGUACUUUCAGCGGGGAGGAAGGUGCUGAGGUUAAUAACCUCAGCAAUUGACGUUACCCGCAGAAGAAGCACCGGCUAACUCCGUGCCAGCAGCCGCGGUAAUACGGAGGGUGCAAGCGUUAAUCGGAAUUACUGGGCGUAAAGCGCACGCAGGCGGUCUGUCAAGUCGGAUGUGAAAUCCCCGGGCUCAACCUGGGAACUGCAUUCGAAACUGGCAGGCUGGAGUCUUGUAGAGGGGGGUAGAAUUCCAGGUGUAGCGGUGAAAUGCGUAGAGAUCUGGAGGAAUACCGGUGGCGAAGGCGGCCCCCUGGACAAAGACUGACGCUCAGGUGCGAAAGCGUGGGGAGCAAACAGGAUUAGAUACCCCAGUAGU